CUCAUAGCCGAAUCCGGCGCCKUAAGGCGUCGGWWAUGUGGCGUAUGGGAGGCGGAAUCCUCCGAGCGCGACUGGUGGUACAAGUCCCCAUGAGAGGGGCAUCUACCCUGAGCGGGUGCUAGGCCCGUACUGCCACCGGUUUGCGCGCGGAGUUGCCGUCCUCCCGGGAGUCGGGUUGCUUGGGAGUGCAACCCUAAGUGGGUGGUAAACUCCACCUAAAGCUAAAUAAGACCGAGAGACCGAUAGCGAACAAGUACCGUGAGGGAAAGUUGAAAAGCACUUUGAAGAGAGAGUUCAAUAGUACGUGAAACCGUUCAGAGGUAAACGGGUGGGACCUCGAAGUCCUUAGGCGGUGUUGGAUUCAGUCGCGUUCGCUUCUCGCCCUAAGGGACGUUACCUCUCGAUGAGGCCGUUCUUGUGGGUCAGGGAGCCGGGCACGGUGCACUUCCAAAUCCCGUCCAGUAGGGCGUCGCGACCGGUUGGAAGGCUGUCGUAAGGGCGACAAGAAAGGUGGCCGCAUCUCCCUCGGGAUUUGUGGUGUUACAGGCUUGUCAAGCUCCGACUGUCGUCCGACCGGGGUCGAGUUCAUCUCUGUUGCGUUCCCUUCCAAUCGGGAGCGUUGCCCGUGAGGAGCUGUCGGCGGAGCGGUGUGCCACCAUCAAAGGUGAGCACCUUCCGCAGGUAGUUUCCGAACGAGGCUUCGCGUGGAACCGGAGGUCGCGGCGAGUAGGUCGGUUACCCACCCGACCCGUCUUGAAACACGGACCAAGGAGUCUAAAGCGUGUGCGAGUUCCCGGGACUUGAAUAGGCCUGUGUGCGCAAUAAAAGUGUAGGUCUUAAUUGGCCGAGUUGGGAUCCUCUCGCGAGGCGCACCAACGGCCCGCCCGUAACCGGUUU
RNAcentral lists this ribosomal RNA (897 nucleotides) under Microcreagrinae sp. UAIC<USA-AZ> 1113015. RNAcentral describes it as "LSU rRNA". It matches the Rfam family "Eukaryotic large subunit ribosomal RNA", at positions 108 to 782 of the family's 3401-position model. Lineage: Eukaryota; Metazoa; Arthropoda; Arachnida; Pseudoscorpiones; Neobisiidae. The record is from RNAcentral.